This 432-nucleotide ribosomal RNA is filed under the name uncultured bacterium. Its description in RNAcentral is "partial 16S ribosomal RNA". It matches the Rfam family "Bacterial small subunit ribosomal RNA", at positions 29 to 507 of the family's 1533-position model. The record is from RNAcentral.
AACGAACGCUGGCGGCAGGCCUAACACAUGCAAGUCGAGCGGACCCUUCGGGGUUAGCGGCGGACGGGUGAGUAACGCGUGGGAAUAUGCCCUUCUCUACGGAAUAGUCCUGGGAAACUGGGGGUAAUACCGUAUACGCCCUUUGGGGGAAAGAUUUAUUGGGAAAGGAUUAGCCCGCGUUGGAUUAGGUAGUUGGUGGGGUAAUGGCCUACCAAGCCGACGAUCCAUAGCUGGAUUGAGAGGAUGAUCAGCCACACUGGGACUGAGAAACGGCCCGGAUUCUUAGGGAAGGAAGAAUGGGGGAUUCUGAGAAAUGGGGGGAAUCCAGAAGGUAGCAUGGUGGGUGAAGUAUUAAAGGCGUUAGGUUGGUAAGGCUGUUUAAGCGGGGAAGUUAUGACGUGACCAACAGGAAGAGGCCCGGCUAAAUUCGUG